This 468-nucleotide ribosomal RNA is filed under the name uncultured bacterium. Its description in RNAcentral is "partial 16S ribosomal RNA". It matches the Rfam family "Bacterial small subunit ribosomal RNA", at positions 28 to 507 of the family's 1533-position model. The record is from RNAcentral.
GAUGAACGCUGGCGGCGUGCUUAACACAUGCAAGUCGAACGGAAAGGCCCAAGCUUGCUUGGGUACUCGAGUGGCGCACGGGUGUGUAACACGCGGGUGAUCUGCCCUGCACUUCGGGAUAAGCCUGGGAAACUGGGUCUAAUACCGGCUAGGACUAUGGUUUGGAUGCCAUUUUUGCAAGUUUUUUCGGUGUGGGGUGAGCUCGCGGCCUAUCAGCUUGUUGGUGGGGUAAUGGCCUACCAAGGCGUCGACGGGUAGCCGGCCUGAGAGGGUGUACGGCCACAUUGGGGCUGAGAUACGGCCCAGACUCCUGCGGGAGGCAGGAGGGGGGAAUAUGGCACAAUGCGCGCAAGCCUGAUGCAGCGACGCCGCGUGGGGGGUGACGGCCUUCGGGUUGUAAAUUGCUUUCGCUAGUGACAAGGCGUUUUUGUGACGGUACCUGAAGAAGAAGCACCGGCUAACUACGUG